UAGAAUGUUUGGUUCACUAUAAUUCUUAGGUCUUUUUCACAUGAAUUGCUCCCUACUUAUGCCUUCCCUCUCUUGUACUUAGUAAAUUGAUUUUUUUUGAGCCAGAAGGAAGAGCUCUUCAUUUACUUCUUUUUUAGAUUGCUUUUAAAAACAAAUUUCAAGAACUUAUUUUUUCUUCCUCUCAUAUUCACCUAACUACUGAAAAGAAAGAAACAGAGAAAGGAAGAAUAAGAAGGGAAGAAAGGAAAAAGAAAAAAAGAAAGAGGGAAAGAAGGAAGAAAGGAAUAUUUCCUUUGGCCUCCAUAGAAGUACUUUCUUAUAAAAGAUAGAUAUGAAGAAACAAAACAAGCACAAAAUUGGCUAUAUGUGGAAAGGCAUGUUGUCUUCUGCACCUCUAGUCCAUCACCUAUCAUUCAAGACAUGGGAAGUUGCUUCAUUAUCAGUAGUCAGCAAAAUUGGGUGGGCUUAAGUCAAAAUACAAUACCAGUGAUGUAAUUUUGGUCUUCUUCCAGUAAAAAUGACAACAACCAACCAACAAUCACCUUCUGGCAGGGAAAGAAAAGAAAUAUACCAGGGUAGGCAAUCAGAGCAUUCAUGUCCAUCAUAGUGAUAAGUGGGGUACCAGAGAACACAUCUUGCUUUCACAUAGUGCUAGGAUCCUGAAAUAAUAUUUACUGGGUAAAUGGUCUUUAUCAUCAUUGUUAUUUAAACCCUUAUCUUCUGUUUUAGAACUGAUAUUAAAUAUCAGUUUUAAGGCAGAGAAGCAGGUGAGAGCUAGGCAAAUGGGUUUUUGUAGACUACUUUUUCCCUUUCAGUGAACAUCUUCAUUUCUAUUACUGAAGCUCUAAGAGUUUAGGAGUUCUUGUUUAAUAGAGUGGUUUCCAAUUGGAGAGUAGUGUCUAUGGUGUAUCCUGGAAUCCUAUUCUUG
Molecule: long non-coding RNA, 928 nt
Filed under: Monodelphis domestica (gray short-tailed opossum)
Lineage: Eukaryota; Metazoa; Chordata; Mammalia; Didelphimorphia; Didelphidae
Description: lncRNA (ENSMODG00000046830.1)
Source: RNAcentral